This 271-nucleotide ribosomal RNA is filed under the name uncultured Parvimonas sp. RNAcentral describes it as "partial 16S ribosomal RNA". It matches the Rfam family "Bacterial small subunit ribosomal RNA", at positions 84 to 354 of the family's 1533-position model. Lineage: Bacteria; Bacillati; Bacillota; Tissierellia; Tissierellales; Peptoniphilaceae. The record is from RNAcentral.
AUUUAACGAAAGUGGCGAACGGGUGAGUAACACGUGAGCAACCUGCCUUACACAGGGGAUAGCCAUUGGAAACGGUGAUUAAUACCCCAUAAGACCACAAUACCGCAUGGUAAAAGGGUAAAAGGGAUACUGGUGUAAGAUGGGCUCGCGUCUGAUUAGCUAGUUGGUGGGGUAAAGGCCUACCAAGGCGACGAUCAGUAGCCGGUCUGAGAGGAUGAACGGCCACAUUGGAACUGAGACACGGUCCAAACUCCUACGGGAGGCAGCAGGA